RNAcentral lists this ribosomal RNA (532 nucleotides) under uncultured bacterium. RNAcentral's name for it is "bacterial SSU rRNA". It matches the Rfam family "Bacterial small subunit ribosomal RNA", at positions 777 to 1306 of the family's 1533-position model. The record is from RNAcentral.
AAUAGAUACCCCGGUAGUCCACGCCGUAAACGAUGAGUGCUAAGUGUUAGAGGGUUUCCGCCCUUUAGUGCUGCAGCUAACGCAUUAAGCACUCCGCCUGGGGAGUACGGUCGCAAGACUGAAACUCAAAGGAAUUGACGGGGGCCCGCACAAGCGGUGGAGCAUGUGGUUUAAUUCGAAGCAACGCGAAGAACCUUACCAGGUCUUGACAUCCCACUGACCGGUAUAGAGAUAUACCUUUCCCUUCGGGGACAGUGGUGACAGGUGGUGCAUGGUUGUCGUCAGCUCGUGUCGUGAGAUGUUGGGUUAAGUCCCGCAACGAGCGCAACCCUUGAUCUUAGUUGCCAGCAUUUAGCUGGGCACUCUAAGGUGACUGCCGGUGACAAACCGGAGGAAGGUGGGGAUGACGUCAAAUCAUCAUGCCCCUUAUGACCUGGGCUACACACGUGCUACAAUGGAUGGUACAAAGGGCUGCAAGACUGCGAAGUCAAGCCAAUCCCAUAAAAACCAUUCUCAGUUCGGAUUGCAGGCG